CCUAGCAUCUCUUGAUUCGAACAGGCCUAGAAAGAGAAAUCAAUAAAUGAUUGUUGUACAAGGUACUUAUAUGAUAAUACCUUAUAAUUUCUCUAUCUGUGAUACUACUACCUGCGUAUUAGAUACCGAAAGUCUGAUUCAUAUCCGCAAUUCAUUACAGAGACUUUAGGUUAGUAGAAAAUUUGAGAAGAGAGAAUAAUUCCUGAAUG
Molecule: long non-coding RNA, 209 nt
Filed under: Elaeis guineensis (African oil palm)
Lineage: Eukaryota; Viridiplantae; Streptophyta; Magnoliopsida; Arecales; Arecaceae
Description: long non-coding RNA (EGUI_LNC038117)
Source: RNAcentral